CCUACGGGUGACAGCAGUGAGGAAUAUUAGUCAAUGGACGCGAGCCUGAACCAGCCAAGUAGCGUGAAGGAUGACUGCCCUACGGGUUGUAAACUUCUUUUAUAAGGGAAUAAAGUGAGGCACGUGUGCCUUUUUGUAUGUACUUUAUGAAUAAGGAUCGGCUAACUCCGUGCCAGCAGCCGCGGUAAUACGGAGGAUCCGAGCGUUAUCCGGAUUUAUUGGGUUUAAAGGGAGCGUAGAUGGGUUGUUAAGUCAGUUGUGAAAGUUUGCGGCUCAACCGUAAAAUUGCAAUUGAAACUGGCAGUCUUGAGUACAGUUGAGGUAGGCGGAAUUCGUGGUGUAGCGGUGAAAUGCUUAGAUAUCACGAAGAACUCCGAUUGCGAAGGCAGCCUACUAAACUGCCACUGACACUGAGGCUCGAAAGUGUGGGUAUCAAACAGGAUUAGAUACCCGUGUAGUC
RNAcentral lists this ribosomal RNA (460 nucleotides) under uncultured bacterium. RNAcentral describes it as "partial 16S ribosomal RNA". It matches the Rfam family "Bacterial small subunit ribosomal RNA", at positions 338 to 795 of the family's 1533-position model. The record is from RNAcentral.